CGGGAAACGGAAAACCCUUCUCCCUAGCAUCGACAUUUGAUUCAAAAUCCCAAGCUGUCUGGAUUCAAUUGAGAUCCGACUUCCGAUUUCAUAGUCCAAUUUCUUUGUUGUUGAACCAUUUCCUGCCGGGUACCUUGAAUCGAAGCUCUCAUGGCAUCGAAGAAGAAAGAAUCCGAAGGGAUAGCUUUACUCUCGAUGUAUAAUGACGAGGACGAUGAUAUGGAAGACGUUGAAGACGUAGAAGAAGAAGAAGAAGAAGAAGAAGAAGAAGAAGAAGAAGACAGUGAACUGCACCAGCAGAGGCAAGAUGAGGGAGGAGAGGAUGAUUAUGGAGUUAGGGUUGCAGAAGAAGAGUCAGCUGUAAACAGCGAUAGAAUGAUUGUCAGUGAAUCUGCUAAUGAUUCGACGCCGCCGGUUGAUGAUGAAAAUUUCACCCCAGAGAAGCUCAAAUUCGGGUCUUCCACUCCGCAGCCGCCCCAGGCUGUGGUUUCAAUGUCGCCAAUGCUAUUACAAGAUAAUUCUGGUAGAAGAAGGGGGACGCUUGCGAUAGUUGAUUACGGUCACGACGAAGCCGCAAUGUCUCCAGAGGCCGAGGAUGGAGAAAUUGAAGAAUCUGGUCGUGUCACAUUUGGCGAUGAGCUUUUAGGCACCAAUGGUGAUUUUGAUAGAACAUCUCCCGGGACUGUAAGAGUUCCAACACCAAACAAUUUAGCCACUCCUCAAAUUUCUGAAUCACCACAUUCUGGUUCAAUGAACAACAUAAUACUGGAAUCUGAAACUGAAAAAGUUGAGGAAACUGUUGAAGAGGAGAAAAAAGAUAUCAAUCCUUUGGACAAGUUUCUUCCGCCACCACCAAAAGACAAAUGCUCAGAGGAGCUGCAAAGGAAAAUCAAUAAGUUUCUUGAGUAUAAGAAAGCUGGAAAAAGCUUCAAUGCUGAAGUACGCAAUAGAAAGGACUACCGGAAUCCUGAUUUCUUAUUACAUGCUGUGAGGUAUCAAGAUAUUGACCAGAUUGGGUCUUGCUUCAGUAAGGAUGUGUUUGACCCGCAUGGAUAUGAUAAAAGUGACUACUAUAAUGAAAUAGAGGCUGACAUGAAACGUGAGAUGGAGAGGAAGGAGCUGGAAAGGAAGAAAAGUCCGAAGAUGGAGUUUGUUUCAGGAGGAACACAACCUGGUGGUACAGUUGUGAAUGCUCCUAAAUUAAAUAUACCUUUUUCAGGUGUUUCAGCUAUCGUUGGUAGUGGUCUACAUUCAGCAGCUUCUGCAUCUGAUGCCAUUCCUAGGGAUGGAAGACAAAACAAAAAAUCAAAAUGGGAUAAGGUAGAUGGUGAUAGAAGAAACCCAGUAAUUUCUGGUGGCUCAGAUGCAGCUAGUGCUCAUACAGCUUUACUAUCUUCUGCUAAUGUUGGCUCUGGAUAUAUGGCUUUUGCGCAACAGAGACGGCGAGAGGCUGAAGAAAAAAGAUCCAGUGAGAGAAAGUUGGAUAGAAGAUCCUGAGAGCAAUGAAUUCUGUUCCAUAACAUUUAGUUCUAAACCAUUUUGAAAGGCUAGGGAAAUGGCCACAUUGUAGCUUUAUAUCUGUGACUAACCAUAUAUACGGUCAGAAUGAAAAUAUUAUCCAGGGGCCAACAAAUUUCGCCAAACGAUGGAGGAAGAUUUUUUUUUGUAUGAGUUUCAUGAGGGGGAAAAAUUGGCUGCACAUCAAGUACAUGGUGGUUGCAUAUUUUCAACACAAGUACGUGGGUCAGCUUGAAAAGGUAAGCCAUUGGCAUCCAUUAACUGUUGUGUUUAUUUUCUUUUUUUCCCUUCACUCGACUCUCGAGGAUAUAGGAUUCCUUGGAAUUGGAAGGCGAAGAAAACUGUCUAUUCUCCCAGACUAAAAUAGUUGCUUUUGGAAUGCAACACAACUUGUCUUCUUUUCAUAGAGAGAGAAAAGAAAGAGAUGGCAUGUGAAGCUAAAGAUUUGUCCCAUGGAUGCAUGUAAAGACUAGCUCUUAAGUUCAGAGAGGGUGACAGUUUCUCUUGAAAACUUGCAUCCAUUUUCCCCUUUAUAUCGACCCUUUCUACCUGU
Molecule: RNA transcript, 2071 nt
Organism: Cucurbita maxima (winter squash)
Lineage: Eukaryota; Viridiplantae; Streptophyta; Magnoliopsida; Cucurbitales; Cucurbitaceae
Gene name: FK506-binding protein 5
Exons: 11
Source: RefSeq, a predicted model, not a curated record